CCCCUAGACGUUCUGGGCUGCACGCGCGCUACAAUAAUACGCACAGCGAGUAUCACCGAGCUCGAAAGGGCAAGGUAAACAAUAGAAAAGGUACUGUAAUGGUUAUAGAUCCUUGUAAUUAUUGAUCUUCAACGAGGAAUUCCUAGUAAGUAUGUGUCAUCAUCACGCACUGAUUACGUCCCUGCCCUUUGUGCACACCGCCCGUCGCUCCUACCGAUUGGGUGAGCCGAUGAAACUCUCGGAUGUAGGCUAUUCAUAGCCCGCAGAAGAGAUUUGAAUCGUAGCGCUUAGAGGAAGGAGAAGUCGUAACA
This 311-nucleotide ribosomal RNA is filed under the name uncultured eukaryote. RNAcentral's name for it is "partial 18S ribosomal RNA". It matches the Rfam family "Eukaryotic small subunit ribosomal RNA", at positions 1470 to 1796 of the family's 1831-position model. The record is from RNAcentral.